This 3265-nucleotide long non-coding RNA is filed under the name Sus scrofa (pig). RNAcentral's name for it is "lncRNA (ENSSSCG00000055295.1)". Lineage: Eukaryota; Metazoa; Chordata; Mammalia; Artiodactyla; Suidae. The record is from RNAcentral.
AUGUCUUUUGGCACCUGAAUAAUUUCUAUUUUGCAGUAGACAGAAGAAUGGACAUUGGAUAGGAAUCAUACCUGCUGCCAACAACAAAUCUAUUUACUCUUGGAGCCUACAGUCAGCAUACUAAUUGUGAAAUUCUAUACUUAUUACUUACAUUCUAGAACCUGGCGGUAUCUCAAUACAUGAAUGAAUAAUGAUGAAUAACAACUUUAUCUUUUUUAAACUGACAUUUGGCAGCCAGCCAGAAUGUAAGAAGGGCCCCACAUUACUUGUACUAGGAAUAAAGAAAUACUAGAAAUAGCUACCAGGACAGUGGGGAGGGCAAGUAUGUGUUUUUUAGGAAUGCUCCUUCAAAGAAGAACAAAGUGAAUAGUACUAGCUUCAUUUCUGUAACUGCUAAAAUACGUGUAUUAUUGUAAAAUAAGACCUAUUUUAGAAUGGACAUUGGAAGGAACUCAUACUGAUUUUUUUUACCCAAGUUUAGAGUUUUGUCCAAUAUUUGUUUAUCUUAACUUUCGUAUUACCUUCCUUUUUUGUCUUUAAUGAAUACGUAAAAUUGAUAAAAAUGUAAUAACUUAUUGUUUUGUUGUACACAAAAGUUCAUUUUUUUCAUAUAUACUUAAAAUAUUUACACACUGUACUGAGAUUUAACAUCCUGCUGUCAAUAAUGGAAAGAAUCUGAAUCUAGAAAAUCCAAUUAGACUAAUGAUAUCAAGGGAAGCUCUAUACUUCUCAUUACCUUUAAGUGGUUCCUAGCAACUAGUCAAAAAUACGGAAACACAUAGCUACAGACCAUGCAUCAUGACAGCCAAAACAUUUAAAAUUUUAUUCAUCUAUCUAUCUAAUCUUAGUCUAUAAUUACUAUAAUAUCUACUGCCUUAUCAAAUGAUUUAUACCACUAGAAAAUACUCAAUAAGGAUAUAAAGAUAAAAUUUAAAUAUAAAAUAAGAUAAUCAGAGCAAAGGAGAUUAGGUAACAACAACAACGACCAACCCGAUAGUUAUCAAAUGAAAUGUAUACAUGAUUACUCUUUUCUUUAAUCUGGUCUAAGAUUUCUCAUACCUGGGGAAGCUCAUUCCAGAGAAUUUCGAGAUCAGUAUUUUGUGACACAGUUAAAUACACAUCAGAGAAUUUGAACCGAAGGAAAUAUGAUUGUCCAUUAACAGUUAAAUUAUGAUUUUUAAUGGAAUAUUGACUCUUAAUAAGCUGACCUUGAAUGAAAGUGAACUGAAUACAUGCGCACAUGCAUAACACAACCACACAAACACAGAGAGAGAGAGAGAGAGAACAGAAAGAGACAGAGAGAGAGAAAAAAAUUUGAAGAAGAGUUCUUGGUCAUGGAAGCAUAGAAGAAGGAGCAAUGUAUCUCCAGGUUAGUGUAUCCAAAUUGUGUUAAGCAAACAUGGUGGGUUUUUCCCCCAAGAGUUAUCGAGGAUUGAGUUAAACAAUGUAAACAAGUUCUGGAAACUCUGAGUUAAACAAUGUUAGACCAGUUUCCUUCUUAUAGGAAUUCUCAGGUCUUUAUAUUUAUUUUGCAUUAUGACUCUGUAAGGGGGAAUGAAGCAUAUAAGAUUUCCCAAAGUUGGUUGACAGUUACAGUAGAUGCUACGCCAUGAUUUUAUUGCAGUUCCCCUUCCUGCACAAAGAAAGAUGCAGCUUCCCCUGCUAUUAGGUUAGGACAACGUGACUGCCUUCUGGCUAACAAGGUGAAACAGGAGGGGUGUAAGCCAUUCAAAGCCUGGACUUAUUCUGGAAAUUCUGCAGUUUUCUCUGCUUUCGUUCUGACGUUGGAGGUCACAUACUGCAGACAGCAUAACUGCAUGACGGCGAAAGUCACCUAUUCCGCACUGAAAUGUGAUGUGAAAGGAAAAUACUCUUGUUUUGUCUAGUCAUUAAGAUUUUAGGGUCUACUUGUAAUUUUAGCCUAGCUUUGCCUCACCUGAGGAUUGUGGUCAAGCUCCUCCGUUUGGGGAGCAUUUACAAAUAUCCUAUUUCUUAACCUGAAAUGUUGUGCAGAGACAAAUGGUUGAAAAACACAUGGCCAAAUACUUGCUUGGAUUAUUUUGCCUAUAGGAUUACUAGUGAGUUAAAGAUAGAACAAUUUUACCAAAAUCCUGAGUCUUAGUUUCUGAAUGUUUUAUUUCUCACUUGGAGGUCACUACCCAGAUGGCAAGUGUAGUAAAUUAGAAAAAGUAAUUCAAUUCAGAUCAAUAAGACAUAAGUUUUAGACAUUUGCUUUCACGUAAUAAUGAUUUUAGAGCUUUGUUUUGUCUGUUGGUCAGGAAAGCAGAUGGUGAAAGGAUAAUUGGUCAUCAUUGUUUCUGCCUGUUUAAAAAAUUGUGGUCAGUCAGCUUCCAAAGCUCAACCUUUUUUCAAUUUUCAGGUCCAGUUGUCUCCCUGGAAUUCUGGAUGUAAUUUAUUAUAACACUAUGUUUCCUUCGUAAAGGAGAAUUGUCUGUGCAGGUAUCUUCUUUCACACGAUUUUUAAAAAACUAUUAACUAAACUCUGCAUUUUAUUUGAAUUUCACUAGUUUUUCCCUUACGCUUCUUUCCUGUUCCAGAAUCCCAUCUUGGACACCACAUUCUAUUCAGGCAUCAGGCCUCUUGAGCCAACUCUGGGCUUUGACAGUUUCUUAGACUUAUGUUGUCUGGCAUUUCCUUAUCUGGGUAGGUAUCUCUAUCAUCAACUUGGCUAGAUUAUAGUACCCAGUUAUUUAACCACAUGCUAACCUAGGUGGUAGAGUGAAGGAAUUUGGUAGAUACAGAGGCACAUCCACAGAUGGUCCACAAAUUAGGAUGGUUUGACUUUAGGUUUUUUGCUUUACAGUAGUAAAAGCGAUACACAUUCAGUAGAAACUGCACAUUGAAUUUUCAUCCUUUCCUGAGCUAGUGAUAAAUGGUAAGAUACACUCUUGGGAUGCUGGCAGCAAGCUGCAGUGCCCAGUCAGCCAUGUGAUCAUGAGAACAAACAACUGCCGUGCUUACAACCAUUCUGUCUUCUUCUUUUGGCACAUCAUUCAAUAAAUACAUAAGAUAUUCAACACUCGAUUAUACAAUAGGCUUGGUGUUAGGUGAUUUUGCCAAACCAUAGGCUAAUAGUAAGUGUUCGGAGCGUGCUUAAGGUAGGCUAGGCUAAGGUGUACUGUUCUGUUGGUUGGGUGUGUUAAAUGCAUUUCAACUUCUAAUUUUUUGUAACUUAAGAUGGUUUUCCAGAGAUGUAACUCCAUUGUGAGCCUUAGGAGCAAAAACUGAGGUUUUCCAGAGAAGG